This is a small nucleolar RNA of Betta splendens (Siamese fighting fish), 129 nucleotides long. Ensembl annotates it as small nucleolar RNA ACA64. NCBI's taxonomy places the organism in Eukaryota, Metazoa, Chordata, Actinopteri, Anabantiformes, Osphronemidae. The record is from Ensembl.
ACAAACUGAAAAUGACCCCAGGUUUGUCUGUGAUCUGGGGUCAGAUAACUGUGCCUAUAGUACGGUGGUACGUAAAGCUUAUUGCGUGUCUUUUGGUGGCUGCGUGAUAAAACCCAUGUGCCAACAUAC